Molecule: long non-coding RNA, 946 nt
Filed under: Olea europaea (common olive)
Lineage: Eukaryota; Viridiplantae; Streptophyta; Magnoliopsida; Lamiales; Oleaceae
Description: long non-coding RNA (OEUR_LNC004108)
Source: RNAcentral
AGUGAAACAAAUUCUGAAAUGCAAUGCCUAUUCUUUAUAUGUCCAAAUUUGAAGACCCGUUACUCGCUUGGCUGGAAAGCCACAGAGAAGACGACUGAGGUUGCUAAGCUCCGACAGAAAGGUGAAUUAUUUCGAAAUGUGGCCAAACCUAAACAAUUGGUGCAAAUACCUUGUCAAAACUCCUAUGACUUUGGAGCUUUCGAAACAAGGAUAUCAAUUAAAAAGGAAAUCAUGGAUACUCUAAAGGACAAAAAAGUCAGCAUAAUUCUGAUCUGUGGCAUGGGUGGAGUAGGUAAGACGACAAUGGCAAAAGAAAUAACUAAGGAAGCUAAAGCUGAAAGAUUAUUUGAAGAGUUUGUAUGGGCAGAUAUAUCUGGAGAUCCAAAGGUAACCAAAAUUCAGGAUGAACUUGCUGAAGGUCUCGGUUUGAACAUUAAAGAUACUACUAAUGAAAGUGUGAGAGCUGGACGACUUCAUAAAAGACUUGGAGAUCAUAGAAGUAAGAGCAUUCUCUUAAUAUUGGAUGAUGUUUGGGAAGAUACAGUGUUGGAAACUAUAGGAGUUCCUUUAGCAGGGGAUAAUAAAGGGUUGAAAAUUUUAUUAACAUCACGCGAUAAAGAUGUGUUCACAAGAAUGAGAAGGAAAAGAAUAUGUAACGUCAAUCUUUUAAAUGAAAAAGAAUCAUGGGAACUUUUCAAGGAAAAUGCAGAAAUUUCUGAUGAUGCAACAGAUAUUAUAAAGGAUACGGCAAAAAAAAUUGCAAAGAAAUGUGAUUAUUUCGAAAUGUGGCCAAACCUAAACAAUUGGUGCAAAUACCUUGUCAAAACUCCUAUGACUUUGGAGCUUUCGAAACAAGGAUAUCAAUUAAAAAGGAAAUCAUGGAUACUCUAAAGGACAAAAAAGUCAGCAUAAUUCUGAUCUGUGGCAUGGGUGGAGUAGGUAAGAC